Molecule: regulatory RNA element, 151 nt
Organism: Stanieria cyanosphaera PCC 7437
Lineage: Bacteria; Bacillati; Cyanobacteriota; Cyanophyceae; Pleurocapsales; Dermocarpellaceae
Source: Rfam
UAGUCUCAAGAGAAGAGUAGGUUCUAAUGAGGAACAGCCAUUAGAAGUAAUGGGGAAAGUUCGGUGUAAAUCCGACGCUGUCCCGCAACUGUAAAGAGACUGAAUACUUACGUUUCUAAGUCAGGAUGCCCGCCACUCGGUUAAAUUAAAU